GCUCCGUGAUUACCUUCACCACACUGUGUGGGCGCACAAAACACCUAAACCUGGAGUAUACACACGUCAACAAAAGAUCUAAAAGAAUAAAACUUUCAACAACGGAUCUCUUGGUUCUCGCAUCGAUGAAGAGCGCAGCGAAAUGCGAUACCUAGUGUGAAUUGCAGCCAUCGUGAAUCAUCGAGUUCUUGAACGCACAUUGCGCCCGUCGGUAUUCCGGCGGGCAUGCCUGUCUGAGCGUCGUUUCCUUCUUGUGCACCGCGGGGUCUUUGCAGAUCCUCUCUGCGCAGAGCUGGCCGUGCCACUGGCCCGGCCGAAAAGAAACGUUGCGGACGAAGCGAACUACAUCGGGACGCUUUGGCCGCCGAGCGAAAAAAAAACACCAUUGAGCUCGACCUCAAAUCAGGUAGGAGUACCCGCUGAACUUAAGCAUAAAAAUGAACCUUUGCUUAACCUUUUACUGAAGCUGUGUCGAAUAAUAGAUAUACCCGCUGAACUUGAUCAUAAUGCUAUG
Molecule: ribosomal RNA, 514 nt
Filed under: Pichia membranifaciens
Lineage: Eukaryota; Fungi; Ascomycota; Pichiomycetes; Pichiales; Pichiaceae
Description: eukaryotic LSU rRNA
Rfam family: 5.8S ribosomal RNA (bases 91-243)
Source: RNAcentral